AACGAACGCUGGCGGCGCGCCUAACACAUGCAAGUCGAACGAGAAGGCGUAGCAAUACGCUUGUAGAGUGGCGAACGGGUGAGUAAUACGUGGGUGACCUACCCUCGAGUGGGGAAUAACCCGCCGAAAGGCGGGCUAAUGCCGCGUACGCUUCCGUCUUCACGGGGACGGAAGGAAAGCUGCACCGUGGGUACGGCGCUCAAGGAUGGGCUCACGUCCUAUCAGCUUGUUGGUAGGGUAACGGCCUACCAAGGCUACGACGGGUAGCUGGUCUGAGAGGACGAUCAGCCACACUGGCACUGCGACACGGGCCAGACUCCUACGGGAGGCAGCAGUGAGGAAUAUUGCGCAAUGGGCGAAAGCCUGACGCAGCGACGCCGCGU
RNAcentral lists this ribosomal RNA (383 nucleotides) under uncultured bacterium. RNAcentral's name for it is "bacterial SSU rRNA". It matches the Rfam family "Bacterial small subunit ribosomal RNA", at positions 29 to 402 of the family's 1533-position model. The record is from RNAcentral.